Molecule: transfer RNA, 102 nt
Filed under: Laccaria bicolor S238N-H82
Lineage: Eukaryota; Fungi; Basidiomycota; Agaricomycetes; Agaricales; Hydnangiaceae
Rfam family: tRNA
About the family: Transfer RNA (tRNA) molecules are approximately 80 nucleotides in length. Their secondary structure includes four short double-helical elements and three loops (D, anti-codon, and T loops). Further hydrogen bonds mediate the characteristic L-shaped molecular structure. tRNAs have two regions of fundamental functional importance: the anti-codon, which is responsible for specific mRNA codon recognition, and the 3' end, to which the tRNAs corresponding amino acid is attached (by aminoacyl-tRNA synthetases). tRNAs cope with the degeneracy of the genetic code in two manners: having more than one tRNA (with a specific anti-codon) for a particular amino acid; and 'wobble' base-pairing, i.e. permitting non-standard base-pairing at the 3rd anti-codon position.
Source: Rfam by way of RNAcentral
GGCGCUAUAGCCAAGUGGUUACGGCGACAGAUUAGAAUCACGUCGAGUGAGUCAAAUAUCUGUUCCUCUUUGAGGGCGCAGGUUCAAAUCCUGCUGGCGUCG